CAGAAGCUAGUUUAACAAAAAUUGCUGUUUUGGGGACAGCAGAUGCAGUCUUGUCCCUGCGCUCCUGA
This 68-nucleotide transfer RNA is filed under the name Holothuria fuscogilva. RNAcentral describes it as "tRNA-Pro". The record is from RNAcentral. Lineage: Eukaryota; Metazoa; Echinodermata; Holothuroidea; Aspidochirotida; Holothuriidae.